AUUGAACGCUGGCGGCAUGCCUUACACAUGCAAGUCGAACGGCAGCACGGGAGCAAUCCUGGUGGCGAGUGGCGAACGGGUGAGUAAUAUAUCGGAACGUGCCCAGUCGUGGGGGAUAACGUAGCGAAAGCUACGCUAAUACCGCAUACGAUCUAUGGAUGAAAGCGGGGGAUCGCAAGACCUCGCGCGAUUGGAGCGGCCGAUAUCAGAUUAGGUAGUUGGUGAGGUAAAGGCUCACCAAGCCGACGAUCUGUAGCUGGUCUGAGAGGACGACCAGCCACACUGGGACUGAGACACGGCCCAGACUCCUACGGGAGCAGCAGUGGGGAAUUUUGGACAAUGGGCGCAAGUCUGAUCCAGCCAUUCCGCGUGCAGGAUGAAGGCCCUCGGGUGUAAAGCACUUUCAGCGAGGA
RNAcentral lists this ribosomal RNA (413 nucleotides) under uncultured bacterium. RNAcentral describes it as "bacterial SSU rRNA". It matches the Rfam family "Bacterial small subunit ribosomal RNA", at positions 30 to 445 of the family's 1533-position model. The record is from RNAcentral.